This 606-nucleotide ribosomal RNA is filed under the name uncultured bacterium. Its description in RNAcentral is "bacterial SSU rRNA". It matches the Rfam family "Bacterial small subunit ribosomal RNA", at positions 895 to 1502 of the family's 1533-position model. The record is from RNAcentral.
UGAAACUCAAAGGAAUUGACGGGGGCCCGCACAAGCAGUGGAGUAUGUGGUUUAAUUCGAAGCAACGCGAAGAACCUUACCAGGGCUUGACAUAUACCGGAAUAUACUAGAGAUAGUAUAGUCCUUCGGGACUGGUAUACAGGUGGUGCAUGGUUGUCGUCAGCUCGUGUCGUGAGAUGUUGGGUUAAGUCCCGCAACGAGCGCAACCCCUAUCGUUAGUUGCUAGCAGGUAAUGCUGAGAACUCUAGCGAGACUGCCGGUGAUAAAUCGGAGGAAGGUGGGGAUGACGUCAAAUCAUCAUGCCCUUUAUGUCCUGGGCUACACACGUACUACAAUGGCCGUAACAGAGGGAAGCAAUAUAGUGAUAUGGAGCAAAACCCUAAAAGCGGUCUCAGUUCGGAUUGAAGGCUGAAAUUCGCCUUCAUGAAGCUGGAAUUGCUAGUAAUGGCAGGUCAGCAUACUGCCGUGAAUACGUUCCCGGGCCUUGUACACACCGCCCGUCACACCAUGAGAGUUGGAAAUACCCGAAGCCUGUGAGCUAACUGUAAAGAGGCAGCAGUCGAAGGUAGAGCCAAUGAUUGGGGUGAAGUCGUAACAAGGUAACCG